UACGUAGGGGGCUAGCGUUGUCCGGAAUCAUUGGGCGUAAAGAGCGUGUAGGCGGCCCGGUAAGUCCGCUGUGAAAGUCGGGGGCUCAACCCUCGAAUGCCGGUGGAUACUGUCGGGCUAGAGUGCGGAAGAGGCGAGUGGAAUUCCUGGUGUAGCGGUGGAAUGCGCAGAUAUCAGGAGGAACACCAAUAGCGAAGGCAGCUCGCUGGGACGUUACUGACGCUGAGGCGCGAAAGCGUGGGGAGCAAACAGG
RNAcentral lists this ribosomal RNA (253 nucleotides) under uncultured bacterium. RNAcentral's name for it is "partial 16S ribosomal RNA". It matches the Rfam family "Bacterial small subunit ribosomal RNA", at positions 524 to 776 of the family's 1533-position model. The record is from RNAcentral.